This is a long non-coding RNA of Hyla sarda, 1159 nucleotides long. RefSeq lists it as uncharacterized. Lineage: Eukaryota; Metazoa; Chordata; Amphibia; Anura; Hylidae. The record is from RefSeq and is a predicted model, not a curated record. The transcript is spliced from 3 exons.
UACAAUUUCAUAAGUUUCAUGCAAUUUUGUUAAUUUAAUUUAUGUUUUGAUCCCUUAAAUCACUGAAAUUUACUAAAUGUAUUAAUUUGAUACAUUAAAGUGUGUUUACUGUGUAUGUGGAAGGACCUUCAUGCCGAAACGUGUUGUACAUUUGUUACUUGUUAUAUAAAAAGCUUGAAGUCCUAUUUGCCUGUGAAGUGGGAGUGAGAGAAGCAGUGCCUAGGUGAAAUCUGGAGUAUUGUUUUAGAAGACCCCUCAAUCUACUUGGAUUUUAUGGGAUGAUCACAGAGCAGCAGUUACUCUCCGUGCUGGCUUCUGUUAGCUGUACCUAUAUUAGGACACAACUAUAUCAGGUGAGUGAGCCAUCAGUAGAGUGACAGAUUUUUUUUUUUUAUAUUGGUGCAUUGAUGAUACAAGAUUAGAAGCACUGCUGAUUUUUUUUGCAUGUGUAUCCAGAAGCAGGAACAACAAUAAAAGCAGAAAGUGCUCUAUAGUGUUGCCAUGAAACAUGUUGCAUGCUGGGUAAUAAACCUGAUGUUUCGUUUCUCACUACUUUGGUGUGGAAGCUCUCUUGGCGCUAAGUCCCAUCAUCCUUCCGGAAUCGUCUGCUUUAUCAGAAGCAGGAACAAACAGUGUUCACAGUGGGAGCUUUAGGAAACCAGGGAAGGAAAAUAAAAGCUACAACAGUGAUGCAGUUGGAAAGCAGGAAUAAGUUGGGAGCAAAUUUUCGAUGUUUUGAAACAAAAUAAUUUUUUAUUUUAAAUAUGAGAACAAUUUUCCAAAGUGGAAAGGGACAUGAGGACCUGAAAGAAAGCCACAGACAAUAUUAACAAUGGAAGCCAGGUAGCCUUUGGCUGUCUGGGAAUGAUGAGGGUUGUAGUAUAGCAACAGCCUGUUUGGGAAGACCUUAAAAACACAGUGCAUCAGAAAUCUCUUCUCCAUCCACAUGCCAUUUAUAGAACUAUACUAUAAAACCAUUCCCCAGCACAGUGCAGACUGUUCAGUGCCUUUUCACCAGCACAAUGUCAUGGCACCGACACAGUGGAAACCAACACAGAGAGCAACACGGAAAAAAAAACUAUAACAGAAAAUUGUACAGCUUUUUUUUGUGCUUUGAACCAAACUCCUGGUGAGUUAAAAUAUAAAAAUUAUGGCAUAA